UUUCCUGAGAUGUGCGUCAGCGGGUUACGUCCCUGAGCCGAUACUAAAAUCUUUAUGAAUUGGUUCUCUAUUGUUGGUGUGUAUGCUUAACUUGGCUUCGGCCCUGAUGUAAGAAACCUGAAAACGAUUAUAACCGAUUCCCUUGAACCGUCGGGUUCAAGGACCGACCACCCACAGCGGCAUCUCGGGUC
Molecule: non-coding RNA, 191 nt
Filed under: human skin metagenome
Also listed under: 1 other name
Description: 6S / SsrS RNA
Rfam family: 6S / SsrS RNA
About the family: E. coli 6S RNA was the first non coding RNA to be sequenced, but its function was unknown until recently. It consists of 184 nucleotides that fold into an extended hairpin structure with a large single-stranded internal bulge.
Source: RNAcentral